AGUGAACGCUGGCGGUAGGCCUAACACAUGCAAGUCGAACGGAAACACAGUAAGCGCUUGCUCUUACGGGUGGCGAGUGGCGGGCGGGUGAGGCAUACAUCGCCUUCUACUUUUACGUGGGGGAUUACGUAGGGCAACUUACGCUAAUACCGCAUACGACCUACGGGUGGAUGCAGGGGAUCUUCGGACCUUGCCCGCUUUUAUGAGCUGAUGUCGGAUGAGCGAGUUGGCGGGGUAAAGGACCACCAAGGCGACGAUCCGUAGCUGGUCUGAGAGGAUGAGCAGACACACGGAAAGUGAGACACUGUCCAGACCUCUACGAGGGGCAGCAGGGGGGAAUAGUGGAAAAGGCGCGAAAGUCACAGCCAGCCAUACCGCGUGGGUUAAGAAGGCCUUCGGGGUAAAGCCCUUUUGUUGGGAAAGAAAAGCAGCAGGUUAAUACCCCGCUGUUCUGACGGUACCCAAAGAAUAAGCACCGGCUAACUUCGUG
This 490-nucleotide ribosomal RNA is filed under the name uncultured bacterium. Its description in RNAcentral is "partial 16S ribosomal RNA". It matches the Rfam family "Bacterial small subunit ribosomal RNA", at positions 29 to 507 of the family's 1533-position model. The record is from RNAcentral.